GCCCCCAUAGUUAAGUGGAUAUAACACAUCCUUGCGGAGGAUGGGUCCGAGGUUCAAUUCCUCGUGGGGGCG
Molecule: transfer RNA, 72 nt
Filed under: Candidatus Pacearchaeota archaeon
Lineage: Archaea; Nanobdellati
Description: tRNA-Arg
Rfam family: tRNA
About the family: Transfer RNA (tRNA) molecules are approximately 80 nucleotides in length. Their secondary structure includes four short double-helical elements and three loops (D, anti-codon, and T loops). Further hydrogen bonds mediate the characteristic L-shaped molecular structure. tRNAs have two regions of fundamental functional importance: the anti-codon, which is responsible for specific mRNA codon recognition, and the 3' end, to which the tRNAs corresponding amino acid is attached (by aminoacyl-tRNA synthetases). tRNAs cope with the degeneracy of the genetic code in two manners: having more than one tRNA (with a specific anti-codon) for a particular amino acid; and 'wobble' base-pairing, i.e. permitting non-standard base-pairing at the 3rd anti-codon position.
Source: RNAcentral